Molecule: ribosomal RNA, 429 nt
Filed under: Bacillota bacterium
Lineage: Bacteria; Bacillati; Bacillota
Description: Firmicutes bacterium partial 16S ribosomal RNA
Rfam family: Bacterial small subunit ribosomal RNA
Source: RNAcentral
UAGGGAAUCUUCGGCAAUGGACGGAAGUCUGACCGAGCAACGCCGCGUGAGUGAAGAAGGUCUUCGGAUCGUAAAGCUCUGUUGUUAGAGAAGAACGUUGGUAGGAGUGGAAAAUCUACCAAGUGACGGUAACUAACCAGAAAGGGACGGCUAACUACGUGCCAGCAGCCGCGGUAAUACGUAGGUCCCGAGCGUUGUCCGGAUUUAUUGGGCGUAAAGCGAGCGCAGGCGGUUCUUUAAGUCUGAAGUUAAAGGCAGUGGCUUAACCAUUGUACGCUUUGGAAACUGGAGGACUUGAGUGCAGAAGGUGAGAGUGGAAUUCCAUGUGUGACGGUGAAAUGCGUAGAUAUAUGGAGGAACACCGGUGGCGAAAGCGGCUCUCUGGUCUGUAACUGACGCUGAGGCUCGAAAGCGUGGGGAGCAAACAGG